UAAAAACGAGAAGACCUUCAAGAGCAGAGACAUUUCGAGAUAAGAACAUUGGAAUUGAAGAUCAGCCACUUUGAAUCAAGAGCCGUUUCGUAAACACUCAAACAAGCAUGGAUUCUAAAUUCUUCAUCUUCACUUUGGCGCUGUGCUUUGCUGUUACGGUGGCAACAAUUACUUUCGAAGAUGAGGAGACAAAAAGAGGGGAACACCCUGGUGCUGCUCCGGGGAUGCCCCUUUUUGCUGACGUCAUAGACAUUAUGAAGAGGAGAAUUGUAUAUGUUUGCACUAAGCCGACAACAAACGAAGAGUGCUGGUGCGAUCCGAGAUUGAGAGGAGAGAGGCGUUACACAGCCUGUGGAUUGAGGGAGGUAUUGCUUAACCCAGUUGAGGACUGACAGAUACCGCUACAAAGGGACCUGAAAGAAAAGCUUUAAUUGGAACUAAUUUUGUGGAUUGAUUUUUCAACGUUGAAUUGGCGAGUGGAGCCACGUUUCUUCAAACUUAUCGGAAUUCAUCAUUUGAGGUGACGUUAAACAAAAACUGUUUCCGGGAAACAUCAUUACAUUGUUACUUCUGAUAUAUUGUGUUCGUUCUCAUGCUUUAUUUAAGAAAAAAACAAAAUCGUUAUGUGAGCUCUUUAUUUGUUUUAUCGUUUGAUAUUUAGCCGGAUAAUACAAAAAAAGUAUUAAAAAAUUCAUUGACAGGCUGUUUUACGCACUUCGCAUGAAUAUUAUCAGUCAGCCUCCAGUAGGUUGAAAUUGUUUUCAGUCAUUAAACGAAUUAAAUUUGUGAAUAUAAUCAUAAAAUAUGAAAUCUGGCCACGUAACGAUAUAACUUUCCUUUACUAUCAGUGUGCCGGGUAAAAUGUAUGUACUAUUGAUAUGUUUUUACUGUCGGCCUAUAUGCAGCUUUGUAGGCAAAAUAAUUGUGACCUUGUUUCAGAUAAUUAUAAUUAGGUACAUUAAUCUGUAAGUAAUGCAAAAUCUAACAUGCAUUGUAGUGAUUUUUCCUAUAGAGGCGUUUUUUAUGAGAUAUGUUUUGAAUGUAACACAAUUUUUUAAAAACAAAUUACAAACUUUAACUAUGAACUUGGAAUUA
Long non-coding RNA from Strongylocentrotus purpuratus (purple sea urchin), 1095 nucleotides. RefSeq lists it as uncharacterized. Lineage: Eukaryota; Metazoa; Echinodermata; Echinoidea; Camarodonta; Strongylocentrotidae. The transcript is spliced from 3 exons. The record is from RefSeq and is a predicted model, not a curated record.